GAUGAACGCUGACAGAAUGCUUAACACAUGCAAGUCGAUGGGGAAGUGGUGCUUGCACCAUGGCAACCAUGGCGGACGGGUGAGUAACGCGUAAGGGACUUACCUGCAGGACUGGGAUAACAGGGGGAAACUCCUGACAAGACCGGAUAAUGUCAUGGAGCUGCAUGGCUUUAUGAUGAAAGGAGACGCCUGCGGAGAGCCUUGCGUCCUAUUAGCUAGUUGGUGAGGUAAUGGCUCACCAAGGCGAAGAUAGGUAGCCGGCCUGAGAGGGUGGACGGCCACAAGGGGACUGAGAUACGGCCCUUACUCCUACGGGAGGCAGCAGUGGGGAAUAUUGGACAAUGGGGGCAACCCUGAUCCAGCAAUUCUGUGUGCACGAAGAAGGUUUUCGGAUUGUAAAGUGCUUUCAGCAGGGAAAAAGUAAGUGACGGUACCUGCAGAAGAAGCGACGGCUAAAUACGUG
This 463-nucleotide ribosomal RNA is filed under the name uncultured bacterium. RNAcentral's name for it is "partial 16S ribosomal RNA". It matches the Rfam family "Bacterial small subunit ribosomal RNA", at positions 28 to 507 of the family's 1533-position model. The record is from RNAcentral.